RNAcentral lists this ribosomal RNA (494 nucleotides) under uncultured bacterium. Its description in RNAcentral is "partial 16S ribosomal RNA". It matches the Rfam family "Bacterial small subunit ribosomal RNA", at positions 28 to 506 of the family's 1533-position model. The record is from RNAcentral.
GACGAACGCUGGCGGCGUGCCUAAUACAUGCAAGUAGAACGCUGAAGGAGGAGCUUGCUUCUCUGGAUGAGUUGCGAACGGGUGAGUAACGCGUAGGUAACCUGCCUGGUAGCGGGGGAUAACUAUUGGAAACGAUAGCUAAUACCGCAUAAUAGUAGAUGUUGCAUGACAUUUGCUUAAAAGGUGCAAUUGCAUCACUACCAGAUGGACCUGCGUUGUAUUAGCUAGUUGGUGAGGUAACGGCUCACCAAGGCGACGAUACAUAGCCGACCUGAGAGGGUGAUCGGCCACACUGGGACUGAGACACGGCCCAGACUCCUACGGGAGGCAGCAGUAGGGAAUCUUCGGCAAUGGACGGAAGUCUGACCGAGCAACGCCGCGUGAGUGAAGAAGGUUUUCGGAUCGUAAAGCUCUGUUGUAAGAGAAGAACGAGUGUGAGAGUGGAAAGUUCACACUGUGACGGUAUCUUACCAGAAAGGGACGGCUAACUACGU